Molecule: long non-coding RNA, 429 nt
Filed under: Setaria italica (foxtail millet)
Lineage: Eukaryota; Viridiplantae; Streptophyta; Magnoliopsida; Poales; Poaceae
Description: long non-coding RNA (SITA_LNC001464)
Source: RNAcentral
UGACCCUUUUAGUGGGGAACCAGAAAACAAACACAAGAGCGGAGCUGCAAAUCAUAUAAGACUAGGAAUGAGACAAUGAGAGGACGGUGACACAAGGCUGGCCGCCACGCUGUCCAUGGUGCGCCCUUCCGCGCAGUGCCGACGCUUGGGCUCAAGGUGCCCGUCAUCGCGCUGCCACAGUUGUGGUGCCUGCCGCCCAGAAGCACUGCAUGAUAACAUCAAUUAAAGCUAGUUCCAGAUGAUAACGAUAAACUUCUGCACUCAUGUCUUCCUCCCAAAAGACAAUACGGAACCACCAAUCCAGCAUGGUCUUACGAAAUCCACAAGCAAACUAGUCUUACUAGUUUUAUGGUCUUACAUGAGGGGAUCUCAAAUUGAUGCAAAUUGGAAGUGGCGCACGGCCCUCCGUCCCAGAAAUUUUGAUAUUUG